UCCUACGGGAGGCAGCAGUAGGGAAUCUUCCGCAAUGGACGAAAGUCUGACGGAGCAACGCCGCGUGAGUGAUGAAGGCUUUCGGGUCGUAAAACUCUGUUGUUAGGGAAGAACAAGUGCUAGUUGAAUAAGCUGGCACCUUGACGGUACCUAACCAGAAAGCCACGGCUAACUACGUGCCAGCAGCCGCGGUAAUACGUAGGUGGCAAGCGUUAUCCGGAAUUAUUGGGCGUAAAGCGCGCGCAGGUGGUUUCUUAAGUCUGAUGUGAAAGCCCACGGCUCAACCGUGGAGGGUCAUUGGAAACUGGGAGACUUGAGUGCAGAAGAGGAAAGUCGAAUUCCAUGUGUAGCGGUGAAAUGCGUAGAGAUAUGGAGGAACACCAGUGGCGAAGGCGACUUUCUGGUCUGUAACUGACACUGAGGCGCGAAAGCGUGGGGAGCAAACAGGAUUAGAUACCCUGGUAGUCCACGCCGUAAACGAUGAGUGCUAAGUGUUAGAGGGUUUCCGCCCUUUAGUGCUGAAGUUAACGCAUUAAGCACUCCGCCUG
RNAcentral lists this ribosomal RNA (548 nucleotides) under Bacillus sp. vrs08. RNAcentral describes it as "bacterial SSU rRNA". It matches the Rfam family "Bacterial small subunit ribosomal RNA", at positions 337 to 875 of the family's 1533-position model. The record is from RNAcentral. Lineage: Bacteria; Bacillati; Bacillota; Bacilli; Caryophanales; Bacillaceae.